GGAGAGGAGAGAUCGAUGGACAGAUUCGUGUUUACCUCGAUUCAAAUUGACGCUUAUGUCGGCGAACAUCUUCGUAAUAACACGUAAAAUCUGUUUUUCCAUGAUUGACCGAGUGUUAUUGCCGAGUCUUCCCUCGCCACGUGGCGAUAAAAGCUCGAUUAAUCGAGCCAUUACGACGUCUCCGCACUCCUUAUACGUCUAAUUCCAUUCCAUCGUUGGUCGUCCUAGUUUUUCUUCUCGUCUAUGAUUGUUUUCCUCGAGAGUCUGGUGGAAGGUCGAAGGUUAGAGGAUAGUUUUAACGAGUCUUACCUAGAUGCCUCUCCUCCCCUCCCCCCUCUCCUCAUCUUCCCUUUGCUCGCGUUUAAGGGUGAGGAUUUCGUUACUCCAUCGUCCGAUAAUUUGACGCGGUAACGACGCGGUAAUCAAGAGUAACGAUCGAACCAUCUUCUUGGAUCUUCUUUGGAAAUAGAAAUGACUCGAUCGUUGUAUGCCCAUCAUAAGAUGGGCGUAACGAUUUCUUCGAAACGACGGAGCGAAAAGAAAUAAUAACGAUCGUACGAGGGUGUUCGUACAUACGAGGCGGACAAGAUAUCCCUAUUCUUAUUCGCUUUACAUGUCUUCCCUUUACAAUUUUUACUAUUCUCCGAGGAACCGUAAAAUUCGACACGAUGGUACGUGGUUCGAUGGCCGAUUCGAAUAAAAAUCGAAACGAUCCUAUUACCGAGAGUUUCCCAGAUCGAUGGACGCAACAUAGAGUUUUGAUUAUCGAUUAUCGACUAUCUCAUUUUAGUUUUUUCGAAUAAAAUAAGCACGUGUAAAGAAUGAUCAAAUAUUAUCCUAGUGGUAAAUCUAUUCUUUUUCUCCACGAAACUCGA
Long non-coding RNA from Apis florea (little honeybee), 875 nucleotides. The record is from RefSeq and is a predicted model, not a curated record. NCBI's taxonomy places the organism in Eukaryota, Metazoa, Arthropoda, Insecta, Hymenoptera, Apidae.